This 820-nucleotide ribosomal RNA is filed under the name uncultured Planctomycetota bacterium. Its description in RNAcentral is "bacterial SSU rRNA". It matches the Rfam family "Bacterial small subunit ribosomal RNA", at positions 94 to 892 of the family's 1533-position model. The record is from RNAcentral. Lineage: Bacteria; Pseudomonadati; Planctomycetota.
AGCGGCGGAAGGGUGAGGAACACGUGGGUAAUCUGCCCUCGAGUUUGGGAUAACCCCGCGAAAGCGGAGCUAAUACCGGAUAUGGUCAUCUGUCGCAUGGCGGAAUGAUUAAAGGUGGGGAUUCUUCGGAACCUGCCGCUUGAGGAGGAGCCUGCGUCCCAUCAGCUUGUUGGUAGGGUAACGGCCUACCAAGGCUUACGGGUAGCUGGUCUGAGAGGAUGGUCAGCCACACUGGGACUGAGACACUGCCCAGACUCCUACGGGAGGCUGCAGUCGAGGAUCAUUGUCAAUGCGCGAAAGCGUGAACAUGCGACGCUGCGUGGAGGAUGAAGGCCUUCGGGUUGUAAACUCCUGUCAUUCGGGAAUAACGGCGGUCAGGGGAAUACCCUGGCCGUGUGAAGGUACCGGAAGAGGAAGCCACGGCUAACUCUGUGCCAGCAGCCGCGGUAAUACAGAGGUGGCGAGCGUUGUUCGGAUUUACUGGGCGUAAAGGGUGCGUAGGUGGUACCGUGUGUCGGGUGUGAAAGCCCACGGCUCAACCGUGGAACUGCAUCCGAAACUGCGGAACUUGAGUACAGGAGGGGAGAGCGGAAUUCUUGGUGUAGCGGUGAAAUGCGUUGAUAUCAAGAAGAACACCGGUGGCGAAGGCGGCUCUCUGGAAUGUAACUGACGCUGAGGCACGAAAGCUGGGGGAGCAAACAGGAUUAGAUACCCUGGUAGUCCCAGCCGUAAACGGUGUCGACUUGGUGUGGGGGGAAUUGACCCCCUCCGUGCCGGAGCUAACGCGUUAAGUCGACCGCCUGGGGAGUACGGCCGCAAG